UUUUCAUCCAGAGCGACCGAGGGACCGGCCCAAUGACGUCGCGGCAACCAUCUCCAUACGGAGACCGGUGCCAAUUCCGCGGGAGUUAUCCCGAGAGAUGAAGA
Molecule: non-coding RNA, 104 nt
Organism: Negativicoccus succinicivorans DORA_17_25
Lineage: Bacteria; Bacillati; Bacillota; Negativicutes; Veillonellales; Veillonellaceae
Source: Rfam